CGGGUGAGUAACACGUGAGUGACCUGCCUUUUAGACUGGAAUAACUUACCGAAAGGUGAGCUAAUGCCGGAUGAGUUAUAUAAGUGCAUGUUUAUAUAGGAAAAGUUGGGGAGACCUGACGCUGAAAGAUGGACUCGCGUCCCAUUAGCUAGUUGGUAGGGUAAUGGCCUACCAAGGCGACGAUGGGUAGCCGGCCUGAGAGGGUGGCCGGCCACACUGGGACUGAGACACGGCCCAGACUCCUACGGGAGGCAGCAG
Molecule: ribosomal RNA, 258 nt
Filed under: uncultured bacterium
Lineage: Bacteria
Description: partial 16S ribosomal RNA
Rfam family: Bacterial small subunit ribosomal RNA
Source: RNAcentral